GUCGAACGCUGGCGGCGUGCCUAAUACAUGCAAGUAGAACGCAGUUGCGACCGGGUGAGUAACGCGUAGGUAAGUACUUAUUAGAGGGGGAUAACUAUUGUAAACGAUAGCCAAUACCGCAUACUAGUCGAUGGACCUGCGGUGUAUUGGCUAGUAGGUAGGGUAAUGGCCUACCUAGGCAACGAUACAUACCCGACCGGAGAGGGGGGUCGGCCAGACUGGGACGGAGACCCGGCCCAGACUGCUACGGGAAGCAACAGUAGGGAAUCGUGGGCAAGGAGGGGAAAACUGACCGAGAAACGGCACGUGAGUGAGGAGGAUUUUCGGGUCGUAAAGCACUGUUGUUAAGGAGGCGGUACUUACCCAGAAAGGGACGGCUAACUACGUGCCAGCAGCCGCGGUAAUUC
This 407-nucleotide ribosomal RNA is filed under the name uncultured bacterium. RNAcentral describes it as "partial 16S ribosomal RNA". It matches the Rfam family "Bacterial small subunit ribosomal RNA", at positions 28 to 526 of the family's 1533-position model. The record is from RNAcentral.